Molecule: unclassified non-coding RNA, 266 nt
Filed under: uncultured Hypocreales
Lineage: Eukaryota; Fungi; Ascomycota; Sordariomycetes; Hypocreales
Description: sequence contains 5.8S rRNA gene, ITS2, 28S rRNA gene
Rfam family: 5.8S ribosomal RNA (bases 1-52)
Source: RNAcentral
AACGCACAUUGCGCCCGCCAGUAUUCUGGCGGGCAUGCCUGUUCGAGCGUCAUUUCAACCCUCAGGCCCCCAGUGCCUGGCGUUGGGGAUCGGCCCAGCGCGCGAAAGCGCGCCGCCGGCCCCGAAACUCAGUGGCGGUCUCGCUGUAGCCCUCCUCCGCGUAGUAGCACAACCUCGCGGCCUGGAGCUCGGCGGUGGCCAUGCCGUAAAACACCCCACUUCUGAAAGUUGACCUCGGAUCAGGUAGGAAUACCCGCUGAACUUAA